AUUGAACGCUGGCGGCAGGCCUAACACAUGCAAGUCGAGCGGAUGAAGGGAGCUUGCUCCUGGAUUCAGCGGCGGACGGGUGAGUAAUGCCUAGGAAUCUGCCUGGUAGUGGGGGAUAACGUCCGGAAACGGGCGCUAAUACCGCAUACGUCCUGAGGGAGAAAGUGGGGGAUCUUCGGACCUCACGCUAUCAGAUGAGCCUAGGUCGGAUUAGCUAGUUGGUGGGGUAAAGGCCUACCAAGGCGACGAUCCGUAACUGGUCUGAGAGGAUGAUCAGUCACACUGGAGCUGAACCACGGUCAAGAGUCCUACGGGAGGCAGCAGUGGGGAAUAUUGGACAAUGGGCGGAAGGCUGAUCCAGCCAUGCCGCGUGUGUGAAGAAGGUCUUCGGAUUGUAAAGCACUUUAAGUUGGGAGGAAGGGCAGUAAGUUAAUACCUUGCUGUUUUGACGUUACCAACAGAAUAAGCACCGGCUAACUUCGUG
Molecule: ribosomal RNA, 484 nt
Filed under: uncultured bacterium
Lineage: Bacteria
Description: partial 16S ribosomal RNA
Rfam family: Bacterial small subunit ribosomal RNA
Source: RNAcentral